This is a small nuclear RNA of Phodopus roborovskii (desert hamster), 102 nucleotides long. Lineage: Eukaryota; Metazoa; Chordata; Mammalia; Rodentia; Cricetidae. The record is from RefSeq and is a predicted model, not a curated record.
GCCCACUUAGCAGCACAUGCACUAAAAUUGGAAUGAAACAGAGAAGGUUAGCAUGGCCCCUGUGCAAAGAUGACACACAUUCAUGAAGCGUUGCAGAAGGGG